UACGGAGGGUGCGAGCGUUGUCCGGAAUCACUGGGCGUAAAGGGCGCGUAGGCGGCGCGUGGAGUCAACGGUGAAAGCUCGGCGCUCAACGCCGAGUCGGCCGUCGAUACUCCCGUGCUCGAGCACUGUAGAGGCAGGUGGAAUUCCGGGUGUAGCGGUGGAAUGCGUAGAGAUCCGGAAGAACACCGGUGGCGAAGGCGGCCUGCUGGGCAGUAGCUGACGCUGAGGCGCGACAGCGUGGGGAGCAAACAGG
RNAcentral lists this ribosomal RNA (253 nucleotides) under uncultured bacterium. RNAcentral's name for it is "partial 16S ribosomal RNA". It matches the Rfam family "Bacterial small subunit ribosomal RNA", at positions 524 to 776 of the family's 1533-position model. The record is from RNAcentral.